Long non-coding RNA from Nomascus leucogenys (northern white-cheeked gibbon), 1065 nucleotides. RefSeq lists it as uncharacterized. NCBI's taxonomy places the organism in Eukaryota, Metazoa, Chordata, Mammalia, Primates, Hylobatidae. The record is from RefSeq and is a predicted model, not a curated record. The transcript is spliced from 7 exons.
CCGCGUCUCUCCCUCUACACCUCCCCGCAACUGAGGGAGCCGGCUCUGGCCUCGGCCAGCCCAGAAAGGGGUUCCCACAGUGCAGGGGCGGGCUGAAGGGCUCCUCAAGCGCGGCCAGGGUUGGCGCCAAGGCCGAGGAGGUGCGGAGAGCGAGUGAGGGCUGCUAGCAGGCUGUCACCUCUCAAUAGCAGUUUUGUAUAUGGGAUCUAGCCCCUCCCUAAGAGGUUGAUUCUAAGGAAGCCAACAGCCGUGUUGUGAGUACCCAAUGGAUAGUCUAUUGUGGCAGAAAACUGACGUCUCCAGCCAACAGCACUGAGGCCCUGAGACCUGCCAACAGUCAUGAUCUUCCGAUGCCUGGACACAGAAAGAGCAGUGGAAGGGGUCGUUUCAUAAGCAAAGACAAAGAGUGGGACACUGACUGUUACAUCUCAAGGAGAAGGAUUGCUGGAUCAAAAGUCUUGCAGUUAACCAGGCGUGGUGGCAGAUAGCUGUAAUCCCAGCUAUUCGGGAGUCUGAAGCAGGAGAAUCGCUUGUACCUGGGAGGCAGAGGUUGCAGUGAGCCAAGACCAUGCCAUUGACUCCUGCCUGGUGACAAGAAAGAAACUAUGUCUCAACAACAACAACACGCUUGGGCACUGUGUUAACUCCAUAAUCGGUUUAUUCAUAAUGCUGCAUCAUCCAACCAUCAUCCAACCUAUUUAUCAUUCACAAUGCCACCUGUGAAUACUGGCUUCCAUUGACUCAGGAAUUGCUACUGGGCCUCACUGAUGUUGACUACAAAUGCAAGUCAUACUGAGCGCCUCUGUGCUCUUUCCCCUGUGGAGAAUAACUACCAUUUCACCCAUUGUUUGCCUGGACCACACCUUGUUAUGACCAUAACCCUCAGUCAGACUCAACCUUCCUUCAAGAUCUGCAGAUCUAAAUUUUAUUGGGAACAGCCAGUUUGACAAACAUAGACUAGAUGUCCAGUUGUCCUUCAUUCAGCAGGAGCAGCAAGAUUCAAUCAUGUUUUUAUUAUAUUAUUUCCUCAAACUGGUGGCUGUAACCAUGAAGUUUCAGGUUGGU